RNAcentral lists this ribosomal RNA (253 nucleotides) under uncultured Bdellovibrio sp. RNAcentral describes it as "partial 16S ribosomal RNA". It matches the Rfam family "Bacterial small subunit ribosomal RNA", at positions 524 to 776 of the family's 1533-position model. Lineage: Bacteria; Pseudomonadati; Bdellovibrionota; Bdellovibrionia; Bdellovibrionales; Pseudobdellovibrionaceae. The record is from RNAcentral.
GACGAGGGAUCCUAGCGUUGUUCGGAAUCAUUGGGCGUAAAGGGGGCGUAGGUGGCUUUGUAAGUCAGGUGUGAAAUCCCGGGGCUCAACCCCGGAAGUGCAUUUGAUACUGCAAAGCUUGAGUGCCGGAGAGGUUACUGGAAUACCUGGUGUAGUGGUGAAAUACGUAGAUAUCAGGUGGAACACCGGAGGCGAAGGCGGGUAACUGGCCGGACACUGACACUCAAGCCCGAAAGCGUGGGGAUCAAACAGG